GUCCACGCCGUAAACGAUGGAUGCUAGCCGUCGGCAAGCUUGCUUGUCGGUGGCGCAGCUAACGCAAUAAGCAUCCCGCCUGGGGAGUACGGCCGCAAGGUUAAAACUCAAAGGAAUUGACGGGGGCCCGCACAAGCGGUGGAGCAUGUGGUUUAAUUCGACGCAACGCGAAGAACCUUACCAGCUCUUGACAUUCACUGACUGUUUCCAGAGAUGGAUUCGUCCUAGCAAUAGGCAGUGGGACAGGUGCUGCAUGGCU
RNAcentral lists this ribosomal RNA (259 nucleotides) under uncultured bacterium. RNAcentral's name for it is "partial 16S ribosomal RNA". It matches the Rfam family "Bacterial small subunit ribosomal RNA", at positions 793 to 1050 of the family's 1533-position model. The record is from RNAcentral.